GAUGAACGCUGGCGGCGUGCUUAACACAUGCAAGUCGAACGGAAAGGCCCAAGCUUGCUUGGGUACUCGAGUGGCGAACGGGUGAGUAACACGUGGGUGAUCUGCCCUUCACUUCGGGAUAAGCCUGGGAAACUGGGUCUAAUACCGGAUAGGACCACUUCUUGGAUGUUGUGGUGGAAAGAUUUUUCGGUGUGGGGUGAGCUCGCGGCCUAUCGGCUUGUUGGUGGGGUGAUGGCCUACCAAGGCGUGGACGGGUAGCCGGCCUGUGAGGGUGUACGGCGACACUGAGUCCGAGAGACGGCCCAGAUUCCUACGGUAGGCAGAAGGGGGGAAGAUUGCACAAUGGGCGCAAGCCGGAUGCAGAGACGCCGCGUGGGGGAUGACGGUCUUCGGGUUGAAAACCCAUUUUGCAAGGGACGAAGCGUUUUGUGACGGUACCUGGAGAAGAAGCACCGGCUAACUACGUG
RNAcentral lists this ribosomal RNA (467 nucleotides) under uncultured bacterium. RNAcentral's name for it is "partial 16S ribosomal RNA". It matches the Rfam family "Bacterial small subunit ribosomal RNA", at positions 28 to 507 of the family's 1533-position model. The record is from RNAcentral.